GAUGAACGCUAGCUACAGGCUUAACACAUGCAAGUUCGAGGGGCAGCAUCUCAGUUUGCUUGCAAACUGGAGAUCGGCGACCGGCGCACGGGCGAGUAACACGUAUCCAACCUGCCGAUAACUCGGGGAUAGCCUUUCGAAAGAAAGAUUAAUACCUGAUGGUAUAAUCAGACCGCAUGGUCUUGUUAUUAAAGAAUUUCGGUUAUCGAUGGGGAUGCGUUCCAUUAGGCAGUUGGUGAGGUAACGGCUCACCAAACCUUCGAUGGAUAGGGGUUCUGAGAGGAAGGUCCCCCACAUUGGAACUGAGACACGGUCCAAACUCCUACGGGAGGCAGCAGUGAGGAAUAUUGGUCAAUGGGCGCAGGCCUGAACCAGCCAAGUAGCGUGAAGGAUGACUGCCCUAUGGGUUGUAAACUUCUUUUAUAUGGGAAUAAAGUUUUCCACGUGUGGAAUUUUGUAUGUACCAUAUGAAUAAGGAUCGGCUAACUCCGUGCCAGCAGCCGCGGUAAUACGGAGGAUCCGAGCGUUAUCCGGAUUUAUUGGGUUUAAAGGGAGCGUAGGUGGACAGUUAAGUCAGUUGUGAAAGUUUGCGGCUCAACCGUAAAAUUGCAGUUGAUACUGGCUGUCUUGAGUACAGUAGAGGUGGGCGGAAUUCGUGGUGUAGCGGUGAAAUGCUUAGAUAUCACGAAGAACUCCGAUUGCGAAGGCAGCUCACUGGACUGCAACUGACACUGAUGCUCGAAAGUGUGGGUAUCAAACAGGAUUAGAUACCCUGGUAGUCCACACAGUAAACGAUGAAUACUCGCUGUUUGCGAUAUACAGUAAGCGGCCAAGCGAAAGCAUUAAGUAUUCCACCUGGGGAGUACGCCGGCAACGGUGAAACUCAAAGGAAUUGACGGGGGCCCGCACAAGCGGAGGAACAUGUGGUUUAAUUCGAUGAUACGCGAGGAACCUUACCCGGGCUUAAAUUGCAUUUGAAUAUAUUGGAAACAGUAUAGCCGUAAGGCAAAUGUGAAGGUGCUGCAUGGUUGUCGUCAGCUCGUGCCGUGAGGUGUCGGCUUAAGUGCCAUAACGAGCGCAACCCUUAUCUUUAGUUACUAACAGGUCAUGCUGAGGACUCUAGAGAGACUGCCGUCGUAAGAUGUGAGGAAGGUGGGGAUGACGUCAAAUCAGCACGGCCCUUACGUCCGGGGCUACACACGUGUUACAAUGGGGGGUACAGAAGGCAGCUACCUGGUGACAGGAUGCUAAUCCCAAAAGCCUCUCUCAGUUCGGAUCGAAGUCUGCAACCCGACUUCGUGAAGCUGGAUUCGCUAGUAAUCGCGCAUCAGCCAUGGCGCGGUGAAUACGUUCCCGGGCCU
This 1361-nucleotide ribosomal RNA is filed under the name uncultured bacterium. Its description in RNAcentral is "bacterial SSU rRNA". It matches the Rfam family "Bacterial small subunit ribosomal RNA", at positions 28 to 1381 of the family's 1533-position model. The record is from RNAcentral.